GAACGCUGGCGGCAGGCUUAACACAUGCAAGUCGAACGCGUGUAGCAAUACACGAGUGGCGCACGGGUGAGUAACGCGUGGAUAUCUGCCUUUUGGUUCGGAAUAACCCCGGGAAACUGGGGCUAAUACCGGAUGGUUCCUACGGGAUAAAGAUUUAUCGCCAAAAGAUGAGUCCGCGUACGAUUAGCUAGUUGGUGAGGUAAUGGCUCACCAAGGCGACAAUCCGUAGCUGGUCUGAGAGGACGACCAGCCACACCGGAACUGAGACACGGUCCGGACUCCUACGGGAGGCAGCAGUGGGGAAUAUUGGACAAUGGGGGAAACCCUGAUCCAGCGACGCCGCGUGUGUGAAGAAGGCCUGCGGGUUGUAAAGCACUUUUAGUGGGGACAAAAAGCUACGGACUAAUACUCUGUGGUCUUGAUUUAACCCAAAGAAAAAGCACCGGCUAACUCUGUGCCAGCAGCCGCGGUAAUACAGAGGGUGCGAGCGUUAAUCGGAAUUACUGGGCGUAAAGCGCGCGUAGACGGUUUUGUAAGUCAGAUGUGAAAUCCCUGGGCUCAACCUGGGAACUGCAUUUGAAACUGCAUGGCUAGAGUAUGGAAGAGGGAAGUGGAAUUUCCGGUGUAGCGGUGAAAUGCGUAGAUAUCGGAAGGAACACCAGUGGCGAAAGCGACUUCCUGGUCCAAUACUGACGUUCAUGUGCGAAAGCGUGGGGAGC
RNAcentral lists this ribosomal RNA (719 nucleotides) under uncultured soil bacterium. RNAcentral describes it as "bacterial SSU rRNA". It matches the Rfam family "Bacterial small subunit ribosomal RNA", at positions 31 to 769 of the family's 1533-position model. The record is from RNAcentral.